Molecule: unclassified non-coding RNA, 1153 nt
Filed under: Hevea brasiliensis (rubber tree)
Lineage: Eukaryota; Viridiplantae; Streptophyta; Magnoliopsida; Malpighiales; Euphorbiaceae
Source: RNAcentral
GAUGGAUUAUCAUAACAAAGUAUCACACCCUGCGAAUGUUGAAUUUGCAGAGAGGGCAGGUAGCAUUAAUUUGGAGCCAUUUGCUAAUGCAUCCACAAUGGAAGUGGUGGUUACAAGGAAGGGUAUACAGCUCUACACCAUCUACAUAUCUAGACAGGCAGAUGCAACACUUAGAAUCCUCUGGAAGAAGAGCAAGUUCAUUAGCAGAACUUGUGUUGCUUGACCCUAGCCUUUCUUCAAGGAAUUCUCGUUUCUUAUCAUUGUCCAAUGGCCUCAAUUGAUUAUCUCGGCAGUAUCUAUAUUUGGGAAGACUGCUGAUGUCAUCUUCAGACGCCCCUCUCCUAAUUGCAACAGCAUAGGCUAUUGCUAUAAUUGGAAUGCAGCAAAAAACAGCAAAGAAAAUGAUGCAGGCCAUUCCAAUGCAAAAUAUUAUAAAGAACACAUCAAAGGCCAGAAAAACCACUGUUAACCAAUAUAGACGAGGCGAAUCUUGUAAAAGUGUUUGGCCACCUACAACAAUCCAAUAGAAUCCAGUCACCCACCAGAUAGAAGAUAUCAGUGUACUGAUAGACUCCAACCUUUUUUUCAUAAUGCUGCUGUGAGUCUGCAAGUAUGGUAAACCCUCAUUGCUUACACUACCACCAUCACCAUUAUCAUGAUCAGUUCUCAUUCUCUUUUGAUACGGAAAAUACACGAAACCCACAUGCAAAAGACACUGCAAAGAGUAGCCAGACACCCAAACCCUCAAAGGGGUCGAUGGCCUCUCUCUGGAAGCAGAAAAUAGCACCGCCACUGAGACCGCUACAAAGGCCAGGUUCCAUAUGAGGUCAAGCACCAUUAUGGGCUUCGAAUAGUAGAAGUUGUUGCCAUUGCUGUUGCUGUCAAAGCUGGAGCUAGUUUCGUCGUCAAGACCGUCGGAUCGGGGAUCGGCGCAGUCCCCGAGGAAGAUCGUAUGGUGGGGGAGGGAAAGUGCGGUGCUUAUGGUUUGGUGGCGGAGUAGAGAAUAAGCAGCUCCACCAACACCAUGGGUAGCUUGCUGGUCCAUUUUCGUUCAAGCUAAGGGAUUCGUUGGUUAGAGAAGCAUUGGGGUUUUGAACAGAAAGGAAUGAAUUAACCGAUAUGGUAAUGGGUCAAAGGAAAUGAAAAUCCGAAC